Long non-coding RNA from Musa acuminata AAA Group (dessert banana), 1837 nucleotides. RefSeq lists it as uncharacterized. The transcript is spliced from 4 exons. The record is from RefSeq and is a predicted model, not a curated record. NCBI's taxonomy places the organism in Eukaryota, Viridiplantae, Streptophyta, Magnoliopsida, Zingiberales, Musaceae.
UCGAAUCCCAUUCUCCCACGCUUUGCUUCCGUGGACGGCGCCCCUUCCUCCUAUCGCAUCCAACGUGGCCAUGCCCACACGAUCAGCUACAAACGACGAAAUCCAAUUCCUGUCUUUGAUACGAAAGACCCUCUGGUUCAUGCUGAGGUGGCAAGUUUUUUAUGGUUGAUUAUGCUGUUUGGAAACGGCUGUUUAAUCUUUUAUCCGUGGUGUGUGAUGGGAAACGGUUGUCCACGUGCCCGCACGCGUUGGGCUCACACGGGGUUGGGGUCGACGCCUCUCGGCCUUGCGUCUCCCGUGGGCCACCCGGAACCCGAAUCUUUGGUUGGACUCCUCGUUGCGUGGGCAAACUAAGCGCUCGUCCAACAACAGCCACCUUUGCGUCUACGUGUCCGCGGUGGGCUUCCAGAUCGGAAGACCACCGAACCCGAUUCUUCUCCAUCGAUUCCGAUCCAUCUCUAUUCGGCUAGUCUUCUUGAUGGACCACGGCAAGCUUGCCGGCCAUCCACCGCCACCGGCACCGCAGCAGCAAGGGUUCCAGGGACUGGGUGAUCGUCCCCGUCGAACACAUCUCACCGAUCCGCCUCUGCCGGGCCCUCGGCAAGGCGCUAUGCUAACAAUCUGAACCAGGCAUCAUCCGGUCAGUGAUGGAGCUUCCCAAACCCUUAGGUCACAAGGAGGCGAUCCUCAAGGUGCUUUGCUUAGUACCAUAAGAAAUCGGGAGAAAGGCAGGCGCGUUGCUGGAAAUUUGUGGCACCAUCAACCAGUCCUAGUGUUAUUGAUACAGCCUUGGCUAGCCUUGCACAAGGAACAAAAGUUCUUGCAGAAGGGUGGGACAUGGGAAUGACAAGGGAGAACAGCUCCUGAGAGCAUACACAAGUUUUCUCUCUUCUUCAGCAGGUCCUGUGCUAGGAACAUUUUUUUCCCACCCAUUGCUAGGACUGUCACAAUAUCUCCAGUGGCCAACAAGAGUGGGCAUAUUAUAAGUUCAAUUCAUGCUGUCAGGAAAUCUCCAACUGUGUUAGCACUCUUCUGAUCUGAGGAUUCAAGCCUUGCUGCGAGCAUAGCCAACUGACCUUUCACGCUCAGAUCAAUAAUAUGUGACCCAUCGUCACAGUAGCUAAUGACAAAGCCUGCAAUCAGCGAUGGAUCGACAAUGUUUUCCAGUCUCAAUUUUCUGAACCCUGUCAGCCUCUGCAUCUUUCUUGAGAUGAGAUUGAUCUGCCUAUCAUCCAAUUUCACAGCAGAAGAGACAGAAAUGACAAGAACAUCACUUGGCUUGGAAGAGUUUUGAUCGCCGUCUUUGCUGGCAUCUUGUGUCACACUGAACUUCUCUUCCUCCAUGAUAGCAUGCAUGAAACUCGGAGUUAAGGGCUGAAACUCCAGGCCGCACACCGGCAUGUUGCAAUUUUCGACAUGUCCAACUUUGUGUUCGUUUACAAGUGAAUGAGAAAGAUUGCAAAUGCUACUGGUGGAUCCAUCGAAUAUGUCAAUGCGUACAUCAGGGUCGGUUCCAACAUCAGAUACAGCAUAUGAAGGCCGUCCUUGUCUGGAUUCCCUGCCUGCAAUGGUGACAGAGGCCUUCUUCAACGAGCUUAAUGGGCAUGCCUUCAGGGAGGAAACACCAUGCAGAGGCAGACCCAUUUGAAAACGUUGUUGACAGGCAUCCAUGGCAGAACUUUUAAGAGGGCAUGCUGGUUGCCCAUUUGGAUUAAUGGACUGGUAUAAGAUCUUCAUCUGCAAAAUUGUUACUUAGUCAACUUCUGAUUCCCAAUAUAUGAUUGAAUGUUGCAAUGAUUUUUAGGACAAAUGAUUGAGGACAGUAGUGCAAGAUAAA